Gossypium hirsutum (cotton) is the source of this 107-nucleotide non-coding RNA. Lineage: Eukaryota; Viridiplantae; Streptophyta; Magnoliopsida; Malvales; Malvaceae. The record is from Rfam.
AACCCAUAAUGAGGGCACCUUCUCAAUAAGUCCUUGAAUCUCUUCCAUACAUCAUAUAAUGUCUCUAAAUCAAUUUAGGCAAAGGAAGAAAUGUCAUUCCUCAACUU